Long non-coding RNA from Carassius carassius (crucian carp), 445 nucleotides. RefSeq lists it as uncharacterized. Lineage: Eukaryota; Metazoa; Chordata; Actinopteri; Cypriniformes; Cyprinidae. The transcript is spliced from 2 exons. The record is from RefSeq and is a predicted model, not a curated record.
GUACAAUCAACAUACAGCUACAUACAAUAAAUAAAACAAUAAAUCAAAAUAAAAACACAGAUACUAGCCCAACUUCUUGAAAGGUAAUGACAAGUAAUAAUUUUUAACCCCAGCUUUGAAAAUAUUUUUGUAAGUAAUCUCUCUAAUCUCAGAUGUUAGGCUAUUCCAAAGCCUUGGACCUGCAACAGCAAAGUCCUAAUCCUCUCUCAGCUUAAAAUGAGUUCAUGGGACAGUAAGAAAAUAAUCUUAAAGACCUAGAUGACUGUUUUAAUCGAGCAAGAGACCUAAUCUAGGAAAUACAGCUCUUAACCACAGCAUUAACCUGCUUGUCAAAUUACAAAUCUGGAUCGAACACAACUCCUAAAUUCCUUAUUUGGUCUUGACAGUAGGCUGACCAAGGACCUAAAGAAGUGGCGAUGUCUGAGCAUCCUCUAGUGGGGCAAAA